AGAGUUUGAUCCUGGCUCAGAUUGAACGCUGGCGGCAUGCCUUACACAUGCAAGUCGAACGGCAGCACGAGAGCUUGCUCUUGGUGGCGAGUGGCGAACGGGUGAGUAAUAUAUCGGAACGUACCCUAGAGUGGGGGAUAACGUAGCGAAAGUUACGCUAAUACCGCAUACGAUCUACGGAUGAAAGUGGGGGAUCGCAAGACCUCAUGCUCAUGGAGCGGCCGAUAUCUGAUUAGCUAGUUGGUGGGGUAAAAGCUCACCAAGGCGACGAUCAGUAGCUGGUCUGAGAGGACGACCAGCCACACUGGAACUGAGACACGGUCCAGACUCCUACGGGAGGCAGCAGUGGGGAAUUUUGGACAAUGGGCGCAAGCCUGAUCCAGCAAUGCCGCGUGAGUGAAGAAGGCCUUCGGGUUGUAAAGCUCUUUUGUCAGGGAAGAAACGGUGGACUCUAAUACAGAUCACUAAUGACGGUACCUGAAGAAUAAGCACCGGCUAACUACGUGCCAGCAGCCGCGGUAAUACGUAGGGUGCAAGCGUUAAUCGGAAUUACUGGGCGUAAAGCGUGCGCAGGCGGUUGUGCAAGACAGAUGUGAAAUCCCCGGGCUCAACCUGGGAAUUGCAUUUGUGACUGCACGGCUAGAGUGUGUCAGAGGGGGGUAGAAUUCCACGUGUAGCAGUGAAAUGCGUAGAGAUGUGGAGGAAUACCGAUGGCGAAGGCAGCCCCCUGGGAUAACACCGACGCUCAUGCACGAAAGCGUGGGGAGCAAACAGGAUUAGAUACCCUGGUAGUCCACGCCCUAAACGAUGUCUACUAGUUGUCGGGUCUUAAUUGACUUGGUAACGCAGCUAACGCGUGAAGUAGACCGCCUGGGGAGUACGGUCGCAAGAUUAAAACUCAAAGGAAUUGACGGGGACCCGCACAAGCGGUGGAUGAUGUGGAUUAAUUCGAUGCAACGCGAAAAACCUUACCUACCCUUGACAUGUCUGGAAUCCUUGAGAGAUCAGGGAGUGCUCGAAAGAGAAUCAGAACACAGGUGCUGCAUGGCUGUCGUCAGCUCGUGUCGUGAGAUGUUGGGUUAAGUCCCGCAACGAGCGCAACCCUUGUCAUUAGUUGCUACGAAAGGGCACUCUAAUGAGACUGCCGGUGACAAACCGGAGGAAGGUGGGGAUGACGUCAAGUCCUCAUGGCCCUUAUGGGUAGGGCUUCACACGUCAUACAAUGGUACAUACAGAGGGCCGCCAACCCGCGAGGGGGAGCUAAUCCCAGAAAGUGUAUCGUGGUCCGGAUUGUAGUCUGCAACUCGACUACAUGAAGUUGGAAUCGCUAGUAAUCGCGGAUCAGCAUGUCGCGGUGAAUACGUUCCCGGGUCUUGUACACACCGCCCGUCACACCAUGGGAGCGGGUUUCACCAGAAGUGGGUAGCCUAACCGCAAGGAGGGCGCUCACCACGGUGGGAUUCGUGACUGGGGUGAAGUCGUAACAAGGUA
RNAcentral lists this ribosomal RNA (1491 nucleotides) under metagenome. Its description in RNAcentral is "bacterial SSU rRNA". It matches the Rfam family "Bacterial small subunit ribosomal RNA". The record is from RNAcentral.